Molecule: ribosomal RNA, 465 nt
Filed under: uncultured bacterium
Lineage: Bacteria
Description: partial 16S ribosomal RNA
Rfam family: Bacterial small subunit ribosomal RNA
Source: RNAcentral
GACGAACGCUGGCGGCGUGCUUAACACAUGCAAGUCGAACGGAAAGGCCCCUUCGGGGGUACUCGAGUGGCGAACGGGUGAGUAACACGUGAGUAACCUGCCCUUGACUUCGGGAUAACUUCAGGAAACUGGGGCUAAUACCGGAUAGGAAUCCUUGCUGCAUGGUGGGGGUUGGAAAGCUUCGGCGGUUUUGGAUGGACUCGCGGCUUAUCAGCUUGUUGGUGGGGUAGUGGCUUACCAAGGCCUUGACGGGUAGCCGGCCUGAGAGGGCGACCGGCCACAUUGGGACUGAGAUACGGCCCAGACUCCCACGGGAGGCAGCAGUGGGGAAUAUUGCACAAUGGGCGGAAGCCUGAUGCAGCAACGCCGCGUGCGGGAUGACGGCCUUCGGGUUGUAAACCGCUUUCAGCAGGGGCGAAGCUUGUGGUGACGGUACCUGCAGAAGAAGCACCGGCUAACUACGUG